Long non-coding RNA from Neodiprion virginianus, 169 nucleotides. RefSeq lists it as uncharacterized. NCBI's taxonomy places the organism in Eukaryota, Metazoa, Arthropoda, Insecta, Hymenoptera, Diprionidae. The record is from RefSeq and is a predicted model, not a curated record. The transcript is spliced from 3 exons.
AGGAGGUGGAUAACGAGGAUUUCUGCACUUGAUCGAGGUAUAACCCGAGGUGGUUAGCCGUGGUCGUUAGAGGUGGUUGGCAGCGGUUGGAGGUGAUCGGAGGUGGAUGAGGAGGAGGACGAGGAAGACGAGGAUUUGUGCUCGGUAUAACCCGAGGCAGUUCGCGGUG